RNAcentral lists this ribosomal RNA (460 nucleotides) under uncultured bacterium. Its description in RNAcentral is "partial 16S ribosomal RNA". It matches the Rfam family "Bacterial small subunit ribosomal RNA", at positions 338 to 795 of the family's 1533-position model. The record is from RNAcentral.
CCUACGGGUGGCAGCAGUGAGGAAUAUUGGUCAAUGGACGAGAGUCUGAACCAGCCAAGUAGCGUGAAGGAUGACUGCCCUAUGGGUUGUAAACUUCUUUUAUAUGGGAAUAAAACGUUCCACGUGUGGGAUUUUGUAUGUACCAUAUGAAUAAGGAUCGGCUAACUCCGUGCCAGCAGCCGCGGUAAUACGGAGGAUCCGAGCGUUAUCCGGAUUUAUUGGGUUUAAAGGGAGCGUAGGUGGAUUGUUAAGUCAGUUGUGAAAGUUUGCGGCUCAACCGUAAAAUUGCAGUUGACACUGGCAGUCUUGAGUACAGUAGAGGUGGGCGGAAUUCGUGGUGUAGCGGUGAAAUGCUUAGAUAUCACGAAGAACUCCGAUUGCGAAGGCAGUUCACUGGACUGUAACUGACACUGAGGCUCGAAAGUGUGGGUAUCAAACAGGAUUAGAUACCCGAGUAGUC